CUACUACCGAUUGAAUGGCUCAGUGAGGCCUUCGGACUGGCUCGAGGAGGUUGGCAACGACCACCUCGAGCCGGAAAGUUCGUCAAACUCGGUCAUUUAGAGGAAGUAAAAGUCGUAACAAGGUU
Molecule: ribosomal RNA, 125 nt
Filed under: uncultured eukaryote
Lineage: Eukaryota
Description: partial 18S ribosomal RNA
Rfam family: Eukaryotic small subunit ribosomal RNA
Source: RNAcentral